This 240-nucleotide unclassified non-coding RNA is filed under the name soil metagenome. RNAcentral describes it as "partial contains 5.8S ribosomal RNA, internal transcribed spacer 2, and large subunit ribosomal RNA". The record is from RNAcentral.
AACAAGGCGUACCUGCGGACCUGCGGAGGGAUCAUUAUCCAUCCAAAACCAGCUGCGGUCGCGGCCCCACGCUUACCCGUGGCGGUACGCGCCGCACGUCUGCACCCUUUUUUUACGAGUACCUUCGUUCUCCCUCGGCAGGGCAACCUGCCGUUGGAACCAUACAAAACCUUUUUUUGCAUCUAGCAUUACCUGUUCUGAUACAAACAAUCGUUACAACUUUCAACAAUGGAUCUCAGA